ACCGAUGGCAUAAUCUGUAUCUAAGGUUGGAGAUUCUGAAUUAGGUUCAGAGAAUGGCUUCUAUUGCCUUCCAGACCACCUGGUAAAGGAUGAAUAGGUGUUGGUUGCCAUCCAGAUCUCCGUCUUGGAUGCUGGGAGCAAUUCUCAAAUUGUUUGUGCAUGAAUUGACCGAUUCUCCUUUCUCUUGCAGAGUGUCUUGUUUAUCUGAGGCCUUCCCAGGAGAUGCAGUUCUGAAAUUUGUCACAGUUCUAUGGAUCUAUUAUUGUGAGAACCGAUGAUAUAUGGUGAGUUGUCUGACACCAUCAUUUCUCCUUUCUAGCGCUUGAGUUGACAAAUUUCAUGUAAUCAAAUGGAGUCCCUGCAUCUUAAGAUGUCAUCCAUUUAUCACAUGUAAUGUGUUGUUUCCCUUUUAUGCGCCAGAGUUCUUUCCUAUAUUCUGAGCAUCAAAGCCCUUUUAGAUUGUAUACUGGACAUGAUUUUAUCUACUUUAAUAUAUGCUUUAUGCGCGUCUGAAAGUGUCCACUAUGUUUAUUUGCUCCAUGAAUUUAACUGUUGUAUUUGCUAAGAAUAGUGUAAUUUUCUGGGUCACAAUUACCUUUAAACAUCAACUACGUUCUUAUUCCUAUCAACGAUCUAAGUAAAACAUGAAAAACCUGGGUUUU
Long non-coding RNA from Triticum aestivum (bread wheat), 662 nucleotides. RefSeq lists it as uncharacterized. Lineage: Eukaryota; Viridiplantae; Streptophyta; Magnoliopsida; Poales; Poaceae. The transcript has 3 exons. The record is from RefSeq and is a predicted model, not a curated record.